This 497-nucleotide ribosomal RNA is filed under the name uncultured bacterium. Its description in RNAcentral is "partial 16S ribosomal RNA". It matches the Rfam family "Bacterial small subunit ribosomal RNA", at positions 28 to 507 of the family's 1533-position model. The record is from RNAcentral.
GAUGAACGCUGGCGGCGUGCCUAAUACAUGCAAGUCGAGCGAACGGACGAGAAGCUUGCUUUUCUGAUGUUAGCGGCGGACGGGUGAGUAACACGUGGAUAACCUACCUAUAAGACUGGGAUAACUUCGGGAAACCGGAGCUAAUACCGGAUAAUAUUUUGAACCGCAUGGUUCAAAAGUGAAAUACGGUCUUGCUGUCACUUAUAGAUGGAUACGCGCUGCAUUAGCUAGUUGGUAAGGUAACGGCUUACCAAGGCAACGAUGCAUAGCCGACCUGAGAGGGUGAUCGGCCACACUGGAACUGAGACACGGCCCAGACUCCUACGGGAGGCAGCAGUAGGGAAUCUUCCGCAAUGGGCGAAAGCCUGACGGAGCAACGCCGCGUGAGGGAUGAAGGUCUUCGGAUCGUAAAACUCUGUUAUUAGGGAAGAACAUAUGUGUAAGUAACUGUGCACAUCUUGACGGUACCUAAUCAGAAAGCCACGGCUAACUACGUG